CUGAGGGGAAAUUCAAUAGAUGUCUUCAAAUGUUUAAAGGGCUGCCAAAAGGAAGAAGGUCCUAUGUUGCUGCACAGGAAAUAAACAGGGAGUUCUAGAAUAACAGCUAGCAUUUCUGAGUGCUUAAUGUAAGGCAAGGUACUGUGCAAGACAUUUUCCAUGAAGUAUUUACUGACCCAGUGGAUGAUAUUACCUUACAUUUUGCAGAGGAGAAAGCAGGUUUAAAAAUCUGGCCAGGUACAAUGGUGCACGCCUCCCAGUGGCUUGGGAGGACAGGAGGCUGAAGCAGAAAGAUUGCAAGUUCAAAGCCAGCCUCAGCAACUUAGCAAGGCUCUAAGCAACUUAACAAGACCCUGUCUCAAAAAUUUAAAAAGGGUGGGAAUGUGGCUCAGUGGUUAAGACCCUCUUAAGCACCCUGAUACCAUAAAUAAAAUAAAUAGAUUAGACAGAUAGAUAGAUAGAUCAAUCUGUCCAGGGUUCCACAGCUAGUAAGUAAUGGGGUCAAGAAUCUAUUCAGUCUUAACUCCAGACUUGUUAUAAAAAAGUUCUGAUAGAGCCAUCCAACGAUGGGAUAACCAAUACCUGGCAGUAAAUAAUACAGAAGAAAAUAUCCUCACAUCCUGUUGCUUUCCCAUCUUUAUGAGUGGGCUGAGACCAGAAUACCACAUCUGACCCUCUGUCUCCCCUAGAAAGCAAUUAUAGAUUUCAAGUCCAGGAAGUGUAGAUAAUCUCUCCCCUCCCUGAAGCUCCACCCUGUAAGACACUUCCUCUAACAAAUGGCCAUCCCUUCCUGUUAGCCGCUUACUACUUUUCACCACCAGGUGGCACCUGGGAAGCAGAAUUGUCAGUGGGUGGAGACCCACCCUGUUUGUGCUGUUACCUUCAUUUUGGCUGCCAAUUCGGUGGUUCCUGGUUCCCAGUUGGGACAAAAACCUUUUUGAGGAUGAGGUUAUGUCUUAAGUAGGAGGGUCUGAUAAUCUGGAUGGGGUGAAGAAGGGCAGAAGUUUUGGAAAGGAGCUUCCACAGGUCACCUUGCCCAUUUCUCCAGCCUUUGGAAUCCCAUCCCUAACAGCAAAUUUCAUUUUCUAGGGAGUCAUCUUCUAAGGAGGUUUAUUCAUUUCCUAGCUGUAGUUCUGCUUCAUCAAUUCAAAGCACAUUCCCUCCUCCAAGCUGCUUGUUUCCCUUUUCUACCUGUUCAUCUCUGGGAAUAUGGAGAACAUGGGCAUCAGAUAGAAAAUUAUUCUUUAUACCGUUCAGCACACAGAGUAAAGCAGUCUAGAUAUUGGCAGCCCCAGGGAAGUACAGAAAGGGAAGUGAGAAAAGAUUAAGGGAGGGAAGCUUUAAGUAGCUUUGAUGAAACAGCCUGAUGAAAUCUAUGCCCUGCAGAGCCAGAUAAAAUUUUCCAGCUGCAGAUCUCGUCUCUCCCCAAUAAACAACUCUAGUUCCCCUGCUGCAUCAGACUAAAUUACACAAGACCAUAUGUGCGUCGUUAAGAGGUAAUCAUUUUAUGAUAAAACCUUCCCUUAGUUUCCAAUUAAUCUAAUUUCUAGGUCCCUGGACAACACUAUAUUUCUAAGGCAAGUAAAUUGGUAACAAUAGUCAUCAGUGUACCUUGAACUUUUUCCUUCCUAAACCUACACAGUACUAUGUAGAAUGUUAAUUCUACACCUGACUAUAUUCCAAAUCUUCUAAUUCAGAAAAAAUGAGAAACUGAAUCCUCUCACUAUCUCGAUUUCUCAUUUUAAUGUCCUAGAAGCUCCUCAAAGUCAAGAAAUUCUUGGAAUUUCUUGUAAUUAUUUCUGCAGUGAGUCCUCCCCCCUUCUUGGGGCCAAUUUGGUCUCGAUCUAUAAUAAAG
Molecule: long non-coding RNA, 1855 nt
Filed under: Marmota monax (woodchuck)
Lineage: Eukaryota; Metazoa; Chordata; Mammalia; Rodentia; Sciuridae
Source: RNAcentral